This is a long non-coding RNA of Peromyscus californicus insignis, 784 nucleotides long. RefSeq lists it as uncharacterized. The transcript has 2 exons. Lineage: Eukaryota; Metazoa; Chordata; Mammalia; Rodentia; Cricetidae. The record is from RefSeq and is a predicted model, not a curated record.
AGUGUUGGCGCUACUUCUGUGUUGAAUCAUCGUCAGAAGAGCUGGGCAGCCGGCAUACAUGAGAGCAACUGUGCUUUGUGGAUGGUGAAGAGCCUAGUAUCCAGGCAUUGGAUGCUGAAUCUCACCCACAUGCUGGACCCUGCAACUGUCCACCACCAGCCCCUAUAGCCACUGCUUUUAAAUAUUAACUUUUGCUAUGGUUCAACAAACACUGGGGUAUUGUCCACUGGGUACAUGAAGUUAUUAUAAUUAUUACUCAAAGAGAGGAAGAGACAAAUGAGUAUCUAUACUGUUUAAUUGCUGGGGGUGGGGGUUCAAAGGAAAUAAAUGAAGCAAAGUGGAGACACGGAUUCAGCUCACAGACUGUGAUUUUGAAGUAGAGUAAGAUAGGAACUCCUCCCAUAAGCCUCAUCCAUUGCUGGCAAGUCUGUAAAAUAGUGCAACCAUUUUGGAAAACAGCUUUGCAUUUCUUCAAGGGAACCCUGGAAGGAAUAAGUAUGGAGUUACCUAUUUGUCUGGUUAUGCCUCUUAAGUACAUACCCAAAGAGAACCCAAAAUAUACAUCCACACAGUUUUCAAUAUGUAUAGCACAGCAGCAGUGUUUAUAACGUCCAAAGCAGAAAUCCAAUUAAUGUUUAUCAUCUGAUCCACAGUUAAAUUCAAUGUCGUUUGUACAUUCAAUGGAGUAUGAUUUGAGUAUUAAAAGAUGAGAUAAUGACAUGUGCUACACUGUGGAUAAACCUUGAUGAUAUUAUCCUAAGUAAAAUAAUCCAGCCAUUAAAGA